This is a long non-coding RNA of Cebus imitator (Panamanian white-faced capuchin), 4953 nucleotides long. RefSeq lists it as uncharacterized. The transcript is spliced from 4 exons. Lineage: Eukaryota; Metazoa; Chordata; Mammalia; Primates; Cebidae. The record is from RefSeq and is a predicted model, not a curated record.
GAUGACUGGAGUUCAGACAUGUGCUCUUCUGAUUGUAGAAAAUGAGCAAGAAGACAUCAGCAGAGGUGGGAGAAUAAAUUAAAAUAUCUUUUUACAAAAAAAUUCUGGCAUCAGUCUAAAUAUAUCUUCACUAGAAUACAGUUACCAAAGCAUAUUCUGAGAAUUCCUGGGGGUUACUAAGACCCUUUCAGGGAUCUGUGAGGUUAGCUACAAUAUUAAAAGUGGUAAAAUGUUACCAUGUUUUAGGUACAAGGAAAUUUUUGCCUUUUUCACUUAUAUUCUCACACAAGUGCACAGUGGAAUUUUCUAGAGGUUGCAUGAUGUACGAUGAUCUCAUUAUUCUGAGGACUAAUGGAAUGAGCUUUUGUGCAUUCCUGUGUUUUAAAACUCUGCUCAAAAUUUUAAUACAGUCAAUACACACUGAUAUAAUCCACACAAACAGGAGACCUUGGGUGUCUUCAAUAAUUUCUAAAAGAGAUAAUGGAUCUCUAAGACCACAAAGUUUGAGAACCACUGCUCUAGAAUAAGAUAGCUUCUGAUGGAUGAGGGGAUCUCAUCUUGCAAGUGCUGCUGACAUCCAGCCUGUUGAAGAAGGGGGACCACAGACAUGCCUGAGAAGUUUAAUUUUCCCUUUCAAGAUCAUUCCUUGAUAUGUAUCAUACAAACAUUUGUUUCUGGAUUUCGUGUCUGUCUCCCUGGCUAGAGCAAAUGCUCUAUGAGGGUAAGGGCUUUUUGACUGCUUUGUUCAGCACUCUAUGCCCAGUAAUUAAAUAAUUAAAUUUCUAUAUAUAGAAAUUUAACAGCAACCAGUACACCUUCAAUACUCAUUUGUUUAAAUCUGAAAGCAUUGAUUAAAAUCAAAGACAUUGAAAUAUUUAACUGUUUACUAUGUGUUAAUCUUGUUACAUAUAUUAUCUAUAAUACUCUCAGAAUCCCUUGGUGGAAGAUACGUUAUUUCUAUUCUGUUUAAGAAAGUGAAGUAACUUGUUCCAGGUCUCACAGUCUGUCAGGGGUGGCCUAAAGACUUACACAUUGUGGCCUCUGCUCUAUUGGCUCCUGGUUGAGGCCAGAUAAGUAGGGAUACGUGGCAGAUAUCACAGAUCUAAGGAGUUCAGUACAGAGAGGUCAACUUCGGAAGAAAACAACAGUGCAUUCUAGGGAUAGGUGCAGGCAGGCAGAAUCUCAUGUCAAGGAGGUCAGAGUCAGAGAAGAAGCACUGGAGGAUGGAUUGGUAAACUGAGUCUGUGACAAAGGCAGAUCACUUUCUGGCUUGUUUCAUGCCCUUUGUUUGAGAGGCAGGGCAUCAUAGUGAUUACGACGGGGGGACUGGCGUUUGCCUGCGGGGAUGUGAGUCUUAGUUCUUCUACCUGCUUGCUGUGUCAUGUCUGGUUAGUUGCUUCAGCUUCCUGUGCUUCAGUUUUCUCAUAUGUAACGUGAAUGUGAUGAUAAUAUUCCCACUUACCUUGUGGGAUUGUUUUGAAAUUAAGUGAAUUGAUAAUAUUUGGAUAGCCCUUAAAAUGGCACCUUGCUCUUACUAAGUUCUAUAUAAGUCGAUGUAAGUGUGAGCAGUUAUUUUAUUGGACAUUGUCAGGAGCUCAUGAAAGUUCAUUGCGAGUAAAAGGCAUGAAACCAGGUUUCAGUGGCGUCAGAGACUGGGCUUCUGGGAUGUGGUACAGAAUGGUUAGCUUGCAGGUUCGGGAACCAGACUUUUGCCACUUAUUGACUGUAUGGUUUGGGGUUAGUUACCUAACCGUUUUGUGACUUAGCUUCCUUCCACGUGAAAUAGAGAAGGCAAGUGUGCCCGUGCCAUUGAAUUAUAUAAAGUAGUAAAUUAGUAAAUGUAAACUAUUUAGAGAAGUACCUAGACCACGUAUGUGGUAUACUCACUGUAGUUCUUACUGCAUAAUCAGAUUAUGCCUUCAGUGGUUAGAAAAGGAAGUCCAGUCUAAUCUCAAAAAUCAAAGAGGUGGCAAAAAUUGUAACUAAGAUGCUAGGAUUUAAAAUGUGAUAAUUCAAUCACAAUAAAAACAAUGAUAUAAGAAGGUACCUAUAAUUAAAUGACAAAAUGUACAAAGAAAUAGGUUAACGAUGUGUACAAGUAGAUUAAAAAAUGUCUAUCAAAGGUGAAACCCUGAGUAAUGAGUUCAGAGAGGAAGGGUCAGUGUUCUUGAGCUAAUAAGUCCAUACUACACCGAGGAAGAGGAAAGAGCUCACCAGAGAUGUGGGUACGAAUCAGCCUUCAAGGAAGAGGAGAAAUAGCUUGGUCUCAUCUUGUCUCUUUUCCUUUCUCUCCUGCUUUGUUCUUUGUUCCAUCUUCUACAAUACUGAAAAGUGUAAAACACAAACACUAUAGGACUGGCCACUAGAGAUCUAGGUUUUAGUCUUGGUCUGAUCUGCUAUAACCAACAGUGUGAUCUUAGACAAGCCACUUGGCCUCCUGGGACCGUGGUCACCUCAUUUGGAAAUAAGAAGGCCAAAUUAUCUUAAGGGUCCUUUCUUAGGAGGAUUCUGGGAAUUACCUAAACAAUCCAGAAAUACUAAGACUUCCUGGAAUAAAAUGAGGAAUCCAGAUGGUGUAAUACCAAUGCCUAGACUCACUCCUUUACCAAGGCACUAGGUACCCCAAAUGAAACACCUGCACCUCCCCAGGAACCAAGAUCCCUUGGACCCUCUGGCCUGACAGUCACAGGAGGACAGCCUGAGAUAAGUCUAUCUGGUCUAAAGUAAUGCAUACAUAAUAAGAAGUUGGUUAUCUUGACAUAUCAUUAUUCCUUGUGAAAAAUGCCCUUGAGAGCUUCGUUUACCCUCUUCACCUCCUCAUCAGUAGUACUGUGCUAACGUUUCUGUUAUUCAUCAUGUUUUAAAAUUAGCUUCUUAAUCCUCUUAAUAUUUUUGACUUCUCUGCCUUGAGAUACACACCCAGCCUGAACUUGUUUUUUUGCAGCCUUUGUACAGCAUAUAAAUAACAAGAAUAGAUUGUUCCCAUAGCCUUGGCUUCUUCACUAAAUUAACUACGUUUACUCAUUGCUCUUAUUUUUGUUCUUGGUGGAAUAAACCUGAAUUUUCUCAACUAAAUUUGGCUUUGAAAUUCUAUGGUAUGUUCUUUAUCUCCAUUCUCUUUGAUGUUGUUAGGCUUUUAAAUCUGUUUGGAACAUCUCUUCCUUUGUUUUUAAGAGCACCCCUUUUCUAUGAGGGAUGCUUUCUUUGGCUUAUUUUCUUUUUCUUUUACUAGCUUCUCUUUCUUCUCUACUCCCUGUCUUUGUCCAUUCAUGUUACUAUAAAGGAAUACCUGAGGUUGGGUAAUUCAUAAAGAAAAAAGGUUUAUUUGCUGUUCUGCGGGCUGUAUAGGAUGCAUGGUGCCAGCAUCCGCUUCUAGUGAAGGCAUCAGGCUGCUUCCACUCAUGGCAGAAGACAAAAGCUAGAAAGGAGGCCAGAGGGGGCUGUGCUGGGGAGGUGCCAGGCUCAUUUUAACAACCAGCUCUCAGGAUAACUUUCACAGGAACUAAUGGAACGAGAACACACUAAGUCCCCACCACCCAAGGGGAGGGUAUUAAUCCAUUAGUGACGGAUUCUCCCUCAAGACCCCAACAUCUCCCAUUAAGCCGCACCCCUAACACUGGGGAUCAAAUUUCAACAUGAGUUUUGUAGGAGUCAAACAAACCAAACUAUAGCACUCCCUGAAAAAUCUAUUCUUAUGGUCCUAUACUUAGCUCACUUCUUAAUUCUAAAUAAUUAUCUUCCUUGGAAAUUAUAUUUACUAACAGCUUCCUAUUUCCUUUAAGCAGGUGAUGUUUAUGUUUUGAUAUUUAGAUUUCUUUUAAUCAGCUGAUUACUUCCGUCAUUCAUUAGCCAUUAAUUGAGCACCUGUUAUAAAUGAUGUACUGUGCUGGUACUAAGGAUAUAAAGAUCAGUGACUUUCUCUACCUUUAAACAGUUCUAAUGGAGUCUCAUUGAAGUGACAGACACAGAGCCAGUUAAUGCCAACCCAAUAUAACAUGCCAAACUAGGGUAUUAAACCAACUGCUUUUAGAACCUGGAGAAGUGAGUAACCGACCUCUGAGGGCUAUCAAGGAAAGGCUUCCUGGAAGAAAGGACAUUGGCAGUGGGUAUUAAAGAUUGAGUAGGAGUUUGUGAAUUGUGAUGUCUCCCAACUUCCUUCUGUUCUGUUCAUGCUGAUGUUCCACUGGCACCUUAAUUUUAACAUGUCAAAAGGCAAAUUACUUAUCUUUCAUCCUCAAUUACUUCACUCACUUGAGUUUCCUAUUACAUUAUUCUCCCAAUCAUCCUUUUGGCAUUUUUCUGUUUCCUCUCUGUUGUCCUGCUGUCCGCCACAAAGUCAUCUGCAUGCUUUCUUUCCCUUUUUUGUUCAGUUGUUCCCACUGGCCCAGACACUUCAUACUGUGCCACCUCCUGUCUGGGUUAUGACAAUGGACUUCUAGCUAAUUAAUCUGCCUAAGUUUGCUUUUUCCAUUUAAUCUGUUUUGUACAUCAUUGCCCAUUACUCUCUUUUAAAAUAUCAGUUUGAUUUUGUCACUCAUCAAGUUAGAAAUAAUGGCAAACUGACCCUUCUUCAAUGCUUAGAUGGUUUAUGAAGUGCUUUUUAAAAAUGUUAUCUCAUUUCAUUAUCAAAACAACUUUGAAAUAAAUACUGUACCUUAUUGAAUAUCCUCUAAAUUUAGAAUUCAGUAGUCUAUGAGCUCCUGUAACCAGGGAUAACAUCAUGUUAAUCUCAGCUUCUUUAUUGCCUAGCACAGUGCUCAUUCAUAAAUGAUGUUCAAAAACUAUUAUGGAUUCACUCCUGCCUCGUGUCUGUGCAUCUUUAUGUGCCCAAUUAAAAAUAGUUAACCAAGCUGGGCAUGAUGGCUUACACCUGUAAUCCCUGCACUUUGGGAGGCCAAGGCGGGUGGAUCACCUGAGAUCAGGAGUUCAAGGCCAGCCUGGUCAACAUGAUGA